Molecule: long non-coding RNA, 1200 nt
Organism: Amphiprion ocellaris (clown anemonefish)
Lineage: Eukaryota; Metazoa; Chordata; Actinopteri; Pomacentridae
Source: Ensembl
GCUUUUUCCAAAAUCAAACUUUAUGACAAACGUUAUUACUAAAAUCCAUGUCAGAACCCUAUCUUGGAAAUGUCCACAAACAUAUAAAAGUGCUGACCAGAUUUCAGCUUAGCUUCGACACAUUAAAAGCUGUUUACACAAAGAAAGACUCAGUGACGAUGAUUCCAGGAUGCAAAACAACAUUAGCAAUACAAAAUCAAAAGUUAGUGGUAUAAAAAGACCCAAGUGAUAAAUGUUUCCCCCAGCUGCAGUAUUUUCAGAGUAGUUUUCGUCUUAACCCUUUGUAAAACUCUGAAAAAGGCCAUAUAUAUAUAUUCACAUUUUGAUGUCCCUUCAUAUGUGGGACAACCUUGUGUCUGCAUUCACAGAAGCAAGGCUGCUGACGCCAUGUUUCAUGUUUUCAGACAGAAGAAGAUGAAAACUGUUUUUGACGACACUUUGGUGUCCAGGUAGGGAUUAUUUACAGACAAUGGUAGUGCCUCAUGACUGUCACAAAAAAUGUCAUGAGUUUUACUUCAAACCUUGAAGAAUUAUAAAGUGUAUUACAUACACCUCUCAGCCACAGUGCUAAUCCAAAUGUGCUUAUUUACAAAGAAAAGCAAAUGUGGUAAAGCUUCAGCUUUCACCUUAACCAGUCUACCCCAGAGGCAGUUACAGAAGAUACAUUACCUUUUAAAGCAACGUGAUGUAAGAAAAGAGCAAAUUUUACAAGGAAAUCACAGUUGUCAGUCGUCCAGAGAUGCUUUCAUUUCAUACAUCUUCAUGACUGUUGCAAUUGUAAGUGUUGCAAUAACAGGUUAAGCUUGGUAAACUGGCUGUAGUAAAUUCAUCUGUAUUAACAUCCUGUAAAUUAUGGCACAUACAGUAUAUAGUAUAAAGCUCAGUUGUUAAAUAAUGAAACCUGGAGACUGAAAAAUGGAUCUUAGAGUGUAUAAAGUGCAGUGAUUGGGCUCAGGGUAGUCCAGCCCGGCUUUAAGCACCUGCGAAUCCGACCUAACUUUUUUAUGCUUUAAAAAAUUUGUCUUGUUGACAUUUUAGUGUCAGCAAGAAAUUUUUAUUCGGGUGUAAUUUUAUCAAAAAGAGUUUCAGUUUUACUGAUCACAUUUAAACACACUGCGUAUUGUUGGAACACUUGCAGUCCCUUUUCAAAAGCACAUUCCAUUAGUGGAAAUACAGGAUGCAACUUGCAGGCAAACAAAU